AACGGCCGUACCAUGCUGAAUAUACCGGUUCUUGUUAGAUCACCGAAGUUAAGCAUCAUUGGGCGCAGUCAGUACUUGGGUGGGUGACCGCCCCAGGAACACUGCGUGCCGUU
RNAcentral lists this ribosomal RNA (113 nucleotides) under Caerostris darwini. Lineage: Eukaryota; Metazoa; Arthropoda; Arachnida; Araneae; Araneidae. The record is from RNAcentral.